CCUACGGGUGGCAGCAGUGGGGAAUAUUGCACAAUGGGGGAAACCCUGAUGCAGCGACGCCGCGUGAGUGAAGAAGUACUUCGUUAUGUAAAGCUCUAUCAGCAGGGAAGAAAAUGACGGUACCUGAGUAAGCAGCCCCGGCUAACUACGUGCCAGCAGCCGCGGGCAUACGUAGGGGGCAAGCGUUAUCCGGAUUUACUGGGUGUAAAGGGAGCGUAGACGGCGUUGCAAGUCUGGAGGGAAAGGCGGGGGCUCAACCCCCGGACUGCCCUGGAAACUGUACGGCUGGAGUGCAGGAGAGGUAAGUGGAAUUCCUAGUGUAGCGGUGAAAUGCGUAGAUAUUAGGAAGAACACCAGUGGCGAAGGCAGCUUACUGGACUGUAACUGACGUUGAGGCACGAAAGCGUGGGGAGCGAACAGGAUUAGAUACCCCUGUAGUC
Molecule: ribosomal RNA, 440 nt
Filed under: uncultured bacterium
Lineage: Bacteria
Description: partial 16S ribosomal RNA
Rfam family: Bacterial small subunit ribosomal RNA
Source: RNAcentral